GACGAACGCUGGCGGCGUGCUUAACACAUGCAAGUCGAACGGAAAGGCCCGGCUUUUGUGGGGUGCUCGAGUGGCGAACGGGGGAGUAACACGUGAGUAACCUGCCCUUGACUUUGGGAUAACUUCAGGAAACUGGGGCUAAUACCGGAUAGGAGCUCCUGCUGCAUGGGGGGGGUUGGAAAGUUUCGGCGGUGGGGGAUGGACUCGCGGCUUAUCAGCUUGUUGGUGGGGUAGUGGAGUACCAAGGCUUUGACGGGUAGCCGGCCUGGGAGGGUGACCGGCCACCAUGGGCCUGCGGUACGGACCAGACUCCUACGGGCGGCAGUGGUCGGGAGUAUUGCACAAUGGGCGGACGCCUGAUGCAGAAGCCCCGCGUGCGGGAUGCCGGCCUUCGGGUUGUAAACCGCUUUCGCCUGUGACGAAGCGUGCGUGACGGUAAUGGGUAAAGAAGCACCGGCUAACUACGUG
This 468-nucleotide ribosomal RNA is filed under the name uncultured bacterium. RNAcentral describes it as "partial 16S ribosomal RNA". It matches the Rfam family "Bacterial small subunit ribosomal RNA", at positions 28 to 507 of the family's 1533-position model. The record is from RNAcentral.